RNAcentral lists this ribosomal RNA (512 nucleotides) under uncultured bacterium. RNAcentral's name for it is "partial 16S ribosomal RNA". It matches the Rfam family "Bacterial small subunit ribosomal RNA", at positions 28 to 523 of the family's 1533-position model. The record is from RNAcentral.
GACGAACGCUGGCGGCGUGCCUAAUACAUGCAAGUCGAGCGAAUUUACGAGAGCUUGCUCUCGUAAAUUAGCGGCGGACGGGUGAGUAACACGUGGGCAACCUGCCUAUAAGACUGGGGUAACUUCAGGAAACCGGAGCUAAUACCGGAUAAUUCACAUCUACUCAUGUAGAUGUGCUGAGAGACGGUUUCGGCUGUCACUUAUAGAUGGGCCCGCGGCGCAUUAGCUAGUUGGUGAGGUAACGGCUCACCAAGGCCACGAUGCGUAGCCGACCUGAGAGGGUGAUCGGCCACACUGGGACUGAGACACGGCCCAGACUCCUACGGGAGGCAGCAGUAGGGAAUCUUCCGCAAUGGACGAAAGUCUGACGGAGCAACGCCGCGUGAGUGAUGAAGGUUUUCGGAUCGUAAAACUCUGUAGUUAGGGAAGAACAAGUACCAGAGUAACUGCUGGUACCUUGACGGUACCUAACCAGAAAGCCACGGCUAACUACGUGCCAGCCGCCGCAGUAA